Molecule: ribosomal RNA, 258 nt
Filed under: uncultured bacterium
Lineage: Bacteria
Description: partial 16S ribosomal RNA
Rfam family: Bacterial small subunit ribosomal RNA
Source: RNAcentral
CGUACGGAGGUUUCCUAGUGGCGAACGGGUGAGUAACGCGUUGGUGACCUGCCCCGAAGAGGGGGAUAACAGCUCGAAAGAGCUGCUAAUACCCCAUGUGGCCACAAGGGUUAGAGGCCUUGUGACUGAAGGAGUAAUCCGCUUCGGGAGGGGCCUGCGUCCCAUCAGCUAGUUGGUAGGGUAAUGGCCUACCAAGGCGAAGACGGGUAGGGGGCCUGAGAGGGUGGCCCCCCACAAUGGAACUGAAACACGGUCCAU